GGCUUAUCUCCCCCAAGAGUCCACAUCGACGGGGAGGUUUGGCACCUCGAUGUCGGCUCAUCGCAUCCUGGGGCUGUAGUCGGUCCCAAGGGUUGGGCUGUUCGCCCAUUAAAGCGGUACGCGAGCUGGGUUCAGAACGUCGUGAGACAGUUCGGUCCCUAUCCGUCGUGGGCGCAGGAAAUUUGAGAGGAGCUGUCCUUAGUACGAGAGGACCGGGAUGGACGCACCGCUGGUGUACCAGUUGUCUUGCCAAAGGCAUCGCUGGGUAGCUAUGUGUGGAAGGGAUAAGUGCUGAAAGCAUCUAAGCAUGAAGCCCCCCUCGAGAUGAGAUUUCCCAUCACGUAUGUGAGUAAGAUCCCUAGAAGAUGACUAGGUAGAUAGGUCAGAGAUGGAAGCAUGGCGACAUGUGGAGUUGACUGAUACUAAUCGAUCGAGGACUUAACCACAA
This 448-nucleotide ribosomal RNA is filed under the name Bacillus sp. CH30_1T. RNAcentral describes it as "partial 23S ribosomal RNA". It matches the Rfam family "Bacterial large subunit ribosomal RNA", at positions 2480 to 2925 of the family's 2925-position model. Lineage: Bacteria; Bacillati; Bacillota; Bacilli; Caryophanales; Bacillaceae. The record is from RNAcentral.